AUUGAACGCUGGCGGCAUGCCUUACACAUGCAAGUCGAACGGCAGCACGGGUGCUUGCACCUGGUGGCGAGUGGCGAACGGGUGAGUAAUACAUCGGAACGUACCUUAUCGUGGGGGAUAACGCAGCGAAAGCUGUGCUAAUACCGCAUACGCCCUGAGGGGGAAAGCGGGGGAUCGAAAGACCUCGCGCGAUUAGAGCGGCCGAUGCCUGAUUAGCUUGUUGGUGGGGUAAAAGCCCACCAAGGCGACGAUCAGUAGCUGGUCUGAGAGGACGAUCAGCCACGCUGGGACUUAGACACGGCCCAGACUCCUACGGGAGGCAGCAGUGGGGAAUUUUAGACAAUGGGGGCAACCCUGAUCCAGCAAUGCCGCGUGAGUGAAGAAGGCCUUCGGGUUGUAAAGCUCUUUCGUCAGGGAAGAAACACCGGCUCUAACACAGCCCGGGAAUGACGGUACCUGAAGGAUAAGCACCGGCUAACUACGUGCCAGCAGCCGCGGUAA
This 501-nucleotide ribosomal RNA is filed under the name uncultured bacterium. RNAcentral describes it as "partial 16S ribosomal RNA". It matches the Rfam family "Bacterial small subunit ribosomal RNA", at positions 29 to 523 of the family's 1533-position model. The record is from RNAcentral.